GAGGGUAUAGCUCACUGGUAGAGUGCACCCCUAGCACGUGUGAGGUCCUGGGUUCAAUCCCUGGCACCUCCA
This 72-nucleotide transfer RNA is filed under the name Camelus bactrianus (Bactrian camel). It matches the Rfam family "tRNA". From Rfam's summary of the family: Transfer RNA (tRNA) molecules are approximately 80 nucleotides in length. Their secondary structure includes four short double-helical elements and three loops (D, anti-codon, and T loops). Further hydrogen bonds mediate the characteristic L-shaped molecular structure. tRNAs have two regions of fundamental functional importance: the anti-codon, which is responsible for specific mRNA codon recognition, and the 3' end, to which the tRNAs corresponding amino acid is attached (by aminoacyl-tRNA synthetases). tRNAs cope with the degeneracy of the genetic code in two manners: having more than one tRNA (with a specific anti-codon) for a particular amino acid; and 'wobble' base-pairing, i.e. permitting non-standard base-pairing at the 3rd anti-codon position. RNAcentral also lists the same sequence under 2 other names. The record is from Rfam by way of RNAcentral. Lineage: Eukaryota; Metazoa; Chordata; Mammalia; Artiodactyla; Camelidae.